GGUUUGUGACGAUAAAUUCGAAAGGCUUGUUUCUCAAAACAUUCGAAGUUGCCGCCUGAUUGAGCUUUCGCCUUCGCCAGGCUUGAGAGCUCGUGUUGCUUAUUUUCCUUGGAUGUCCGAGACC
Molecule: small nucleolar RNA, 124 nt
Organism: Impatiens glandulifera
Lineage: Eukaryota; Viridiplantae; Streptophyta; Magnoliopsida; Ericales; Balsaminaceae
Product: small nucleolar RNA SNORD14
Exons: 1
Source: RefSeq, a predicted model, not a curated record